This 253-nucleotide ribosomal RNA is filed under the name uncultured bacterium. RNAcentral describes it as "partial 16S ribosomal RNA". It matches the Rfam family "Bacterial small subunit ribosomal RNA", at positions 524 to 776 of the family's 1533-position model. The record is from RNAcentral.
UACAGAGGUCUCAAGCGUUGUUCGGAUUCAUUGGGCGUAAAGGGUGCGUAGGCGGCGCGGUAAGUCAGGUGUGAAAUCUCGGGGCUCAACCCCGAAACUGCACUUGAUACUGCCUUGCUAGAGUACUGGAGAGGAGAUUGGAAUUUACGGUGUAGCAGUGAAAUGCGUAGAUAUCGUAAGGAAGACCAGUGGCGAAGGCGAAUCUCUGGACAGUUACUGACACUGAGGCACGAAGGCCAGAGGAGCAAACGGG